Ornithodoros turicata is the source of this 3249-nucleotide long non-coding RNA. RefSeq lists it as uncharacterized. NCBI's taxonomy places the organism in Eukaryota, Metazoa, Arthropoda, Arachnida, Ixodida, Argasidae. The transcript is spliced from 3 exons. The record is from RefSeq and is a predicted model, not a curated record.
UCUUAUAAACAUACUAUAAAUUACGGCUUCUAGACGUCGCGUUGACGUCCUGAUCGUCUUCUACCCUAAUUUGACCAAAUAAAGACGUUUCCGCGACGUUUUGUGCUACUAGGGAAUAUACUGCUGCCGUCAAAGCUCUUCACACAGGAAAGUCUCCCGGUUCCGAUGGCCUCCCAGCUGAAUUCUAUAAAUGCUUCUGGUCCACUCUUCGGAGGCCUUUGACAGUUCUGUUGAAUCAGUGCUUGGCACGACGUCUCCUCUGUCCGUCCAUGCGUGAGAGCAUUGUCACCUUGUUGUGCAAGGAUGCUUCCAAAAAACAAGACCCAAAUGCCUAUCGCCCUGUUUCACUGCUUAAUACUGACUACAAAAUUUUAUCAAAAGCGAUUUUGCAACACAUCUCUCCAGUUCUUGGUACAGUCAUUCCUCCUUUCCAGGCCUGUGCUGUCCCUGAGCGGUCCAUCACGCUUCAUACGCAGGCUUUAAGAGACGCCUUGUACAGGGCACAUAGUCGGCGGCGACCUUGUGUUUUAGUGUCGUUUGACCAAAGGAAGGCCUUUGAUCGUGUGCUUCACGAAUACAUGUACCGUGUGUUGGAGGCGAGUGGGUUUGAUCGCGAGAUCAUAUCGUGGUUCCGAGCACUGUAUGCUGGUGCGUCAGCCACCAUUGGUGUCAAUGGGGGUACCCCUGCUAACUUCCCCAUAACGGUGGGUGUCCGCCAGGGCUGCCCCCUGUCACCGGCACUGUAUGCCCUAGUGUUUGGCCCGCUUUUAGAGUCCCUCGCAUCCUCGGUUGCAUCCCGGAUGCUUGCCCUUCCGGGCACAUCUGCGUUACCGCUUUUUGCGUAUGCGGACGACCUGUCUCUCAUCCUGACCGACGAGGAAGCUAUCGGGAAUGUUCUCCAGGUAAUUGAAAGCUACGGUAGGGUUUCUAAUGCACAGAUCAAUAGAGAUAAAAGCGCACUACUUUUCGUCAACCUCAUCCCGUCGUGCUCCGCACCCUUUGGUAUUCCUGUGAAGAAUGCCGUGCGCGUUCUUGGGUAUGAUUUCCUGCCUUCAGGAAUAUCUCCCAGCACCUGGGCACGUGUCCAUAUGCGUAGUAUUCCUGUGCUCCGGGACUUGAAAGAGCUCGUACUCCCCAUUACCUGCAGAGCGCGCCUUGCUGCGUCUUGGUUUCUGAGUAAAUAUUGGUAUUUAGCCAAUACCUCCAUCCCUCCGCGGACUACUCUUCAGGCCGCUACACGUGCGGCGUUUCAGUUUAUCUGGGGCGGUUCAGUAGAAUGGGUAUCAAGAGGUCGUAUGUAUCGGCCUCGCGUAGAUGGCGGCCUUUUGGUGCCCGAUUUCAAAGUGAAGUGCCUUGCCUUAGGUCUGCGCGCGAUCUUUCAGGGUCUCCUAGAGCAGCGGCAUCCUGCUCAGGGUCUACUAACUUUUCUGUUAGGACCCGACAUUCGUUUUUUUUUCUGAGCUGACACACACUCGCCCGCGCUCAGAGUGUGUGGCUCCCCACCUGAAGGCAUACGUUGUGGCAAUGCGCAGCCUGCGAGCUUCUUUCCCUGAUGAUGACAUAACAUCAUGGCCCGUGCGGCGCCUUUACAUGGCACUUCUUGUGCUUAAUCGGCCACCCCCGAACUCGACGCCUAUUCAGCGCCACAUAGCGUGGCGUACGACCACUGCUGGCUGGCUGGACGCCCGUCGGGCCAGUCUUCAGUGGCGCUUAGCGCAUGACGUCUUGCCGCUGCGUGAGCGUUUUUCCCGCUUUGGUGUAACGUCACCCGGCUGUCCCUUCUGCGAGUACAGGGAGUCAGCAGAACAUGCUUUCAGUUUAUGUUUGUUGCCGGGUGCCCUGUGGCAUCGUGUAGCGGGCCUCUAUAGCCUGACGGAUGUUGAGUGGAGCACAGUUCGUGGUCUGUACCCCCUCCCUGUCUCGCAGCGGGAUAGGCGGCAUUUUGUGCUCUUGGUGGUCGAAAUCAACUACCAAGUGUGGAUUUCACGCUGUCGACGAGUGCACGCGCAGGAGAGCCGCAGUGUGCAGGAGGUGAUUCGGCUAGUUAACGCCGGUAUUCGCAAAGUUCUUUGCAGGGAGCGUGCGGUGCUUGGAGCAGUUGAGUUUCACCGUCGCUGGAUGGCCUCUGACAUCCUCUUCAGGGUGGACAAGGACAGCGACGCCAAUCCGCUUUGCAACGCGCACUAUGUUUUUAACCGGGAAUGCUCCAUGGCGUGGCACGCGCAUGUUCGACUAAAACACCGAUGCACGAGCUGAAGCGUCGUUCACUGCUUAGCGCCGAAGCAAAGAGUCCGUGCCCCUUUAAUGGAUGGAUGGAUGGAUUGUUGGUGCACCCCUGGUGGGCCUCUUGUGAUCCGACUCCUGGUCAGGGUUGCCAACUUACUAACACGCAACGCAAGAUGUAGCCGUCUGGGUGGCGAAAAGUUCCCAGGUUUCACUUCUGUGUCUACUAGCAAGUUCUCUGGCAACCUGUAUGCUCACACUGCGAAGCUACCAGGAAGCGAUUCGCCAGUCAAUCUCCAAGCCUCAUUCAGGCUCAGGUUACACCAGUUCCUACACAGCGACCGGCGUCAUACCUGCUGCCCUUAAACCCUUCCUGAGCUCUGCUUCCUCCACACCGUUGAGCUACAAGAACAUGACUUUCAGACAUGGAAUGGGCGUAAAAUAUAUCGAGCAAAGUGAAGAGAGACACGACUUACAUUCGGAAACAUUCGUAGGGCAAACCGGUUUCCCAACUCCACAAUCAGAACAGGAGCCUCUGGAAACCGUCUCAUCCUUACAACGACUGCUCCUUCUGCACUCAAAAAUACCUGCCAGACAAUUUUAUCCACCAGCGACGAUCAACUCGCCACUUCCAUUUCCAAAGAAAAAGCCACUUACGUACAUAGGUACGGUGUCGUAUUCACCACUUGGCAACUAUGCUUUCGGUUAUAGGGCUCCAGGCCACGGUAUGCCCCUGUCCAAAUGAUGAAAGCACGUACAGAAACAUAGUGUAUAGUUUUGAUCGAUAUUUUACGAAAUUAACCUGUCCGUAUGUAGUGUUAGUAUUGCUGGUGAAAAUCUCCUGCCUCUGACACCCAGGAGAGCAAUCGCCCAAGGGCGAUGCCUGUCUUGUGUACUCAUAAAUCACUGUGCGACCCGGACAUGUCAGACGAAGCGUUGACCGCUCGCCGUUAAUUUUAAAAUGUCUGGUAUAUCCUUUACAUUUUGGAGCCAACGUCUCUUCCUAUUACCACCACUGUCAUCCAA